Molecule: ribosomal RNA, 460 nt
Filed under: uncultured bacterium
Lineage: Bacteria
Description: partial 16S ribosomal RNA
Rfam family: Bacterial small subunit ribosomal RNA
Source: RNAcentral
CCUCCUUUGUUCCGCCGUUCUUACUAUUGUUCCCUGGGCUUCCGCCUGAACCAGCCAAGUCGCGUGAGGGAAGACUGCCCUAUGGGUUGUAAACCUCUUUUGUCAGGGAGCAAAUGGCGCUACGUGUAGCGUUAUCGAGAGUACCUGAAGAAAAAGCAUCGGCUAACUCCGUGCCAGCAGCCGCGGUAAUACGGAGGAUGCGAGCGUUAUCCGGAUUUAUUGGGUUAAAAGGGUGCGUAGGCGGAGUGCCAAGUCAGCGGUAAAAUCGCGGGGCUCAACCUCGCUCAGCCGUUGAAACUGGCGUUCUUGAGUGGGCGAGAAGUAUGCGGAAUGCGUGGUGUAGCGGUGAAAUGCAUAGAUAUCACGCAGAACUCCGAUUGCGAAGGCAGCAUACCGGCGCCCAACUGACGCUGAAGCACGAAAGCGUGGGUAUCGAACAGGAUUAGAUACCCCAGUAGUC